ACAUUUCCCAGGCUUCAUUGUUUGUGGAGGUUUGAAGUUUGAGGCUCAGUGGAGACUGGAUUUUGAUAAGCAAACACAAUAUUUAUAUAUUUUCAAAUGUUCAUGUAGGCUUGCAGCUUUUUGUAUUCUGUUAAGUAGACUGUAAAAGAGACUUGGGAGAAAGAAAUUUUAUUUUGAAGGAAAGAAGAGAGCUCUAUCAAAAGUUUAUCUGCGUUUCUUAAUAGUGAGAUUUAUUAAAUGGGUAUCUUAGUACAAUAUGUGCAGCAGUAUUGCAGGCUGCUCUUCUGCUUCUUUCUCAUUUUCUGGAGCACAUCCUUAUUUUUAUAUGUUCCUGUGGCGUAUGAAUCUUUUCUGUGGGCUGCGAACUUCCAGUGUCUGAGAGCAAGAUUGUGUCUUUCCAUGUCCAGGGACUAUCUUCUUGAGACUUGUAUGUUGCAAAGGGAGCUUUUCAGAGAUGAUUCUAACGAAACAAACAUCUCCAGAGGAAAUGAAAUUUGGGCACAGACUUAAGAGCUUGGCCUGAUACUCUGCAGCAGGCAUUCCAGGAAGGGCUGGAAAUGUUAAAGUGAACUCCAGGGAUCCACCUGUCUGUACUUAACCCCACCAAUGCCAUUCCCAGCAGCUUCAUGGAUGUUGAGUAUCCAAAUUCACCUACUGAGCCAUCUCCUCAGCCUCUUGGAAAAGAAGUUGACAUGAAAGUGACUAGUUAUGAGGUGCAGUUCAGUUGCUGUUCUGAAGAAGUGCUGUGGACAAUCAUCCUGAGGACAUUCAAGGACUGCCUGUUCUUCCAAAUUCUCCUGUUGUAUGUCACAUACUUUGACAAUGAGAUGCAUUUUUGGGUGACUUUUGAAUCAUUGAUAUGGAGGAACCAAUCAACAGUUACACAGUUCCUAGCUCCUACUUAAUCAGUUUUUCCUUUCUUUUGAUCAUUUACCAGCAGAUUAAGAAAGAACAUGCGUUUCAUUAGUAAAAAUUCAGUAUUUCUUAACAUAUGUUCAAUAAGGAUUCAGCAUUUCUUAUUUUGUUAAUGCUAAAGGCUGGUAUGUGCAUGCAAUUCUUCAACAAGCUAUUCACUUCUUAGGAAUGAAUUCUCCAAUUUCUUGAAAGGCACUGUAAGAUUAGUAAUAAAAACCUACCAAAAUAAUCUUAAUUAAUUGAAGCUGAAUUCUCCUGUCAUGAUAAAAGAUGAAAAUAUAUUUGGAAUAUGCUUUCCAUUAUCUACUCUAAAACUGAACAUAUUCAUUGAAUAUCUAAUUUAUACAUUUUGAUAACCCACAAUGCAUCUGUUUGCAUCUCACUUUGAACUGUCAAGUUCCUGCAGAGAUUAUUAAGCCUUUAGUAGCAUUAAACACAAGUUCACAUUUAGUUCUAAAGUGUUAAUGAAACAUUUUAGUCAUUUUCGCCAAAGAAAGGUUUUAUUCUAUUGUGUUACUCUCUAAUUUUGCUAUUCAACAUUGCAAAAUAAUUGAAAUAUGCUCUAGUGUGAUCAUAGUUCAGCAGAGUAUAUUUUUUGCCACUACUACAGUUUAGUAGUCUUCUUAACAAAAUAGAGCUAGUAUCUAAUAAUACUUAAAGAAAGGACAAUUAAUUUUAUGAAGAAUAUUUAUUGUUCUUUAGUAAUAAUUUUUUUUCUGGUCUUUAAGACUGACUCAUGAGGAUAAUGAUCAUUUCCAGUUGUUUAUUGCAAUGUACUGUCCCCUUUGUACUCUUUCUGAAAUGAAUGUUCAUUAAAUAUUUGAAUAUAA
Molecule: non-coding RNA, 1745 nt
Organism: Rattus norvegicus (Norway rat)
Lineage: Eukaryota; Metazoa; Chordata; Mammalia; Rodentia; Muridae
Source: RefSeq, a predicted model, not a curated record